GGCAGAUGGGGUAAAAUGUCCCCCAGGGGUGUUUAUCCUCAGCUGAGGCGUCCAGACUGAGGCAGACACGGCCUGACACCUGAGCUCCGCCGCUGUCACUCUUUACAGCAAAUCUGCUUGUGAGCCAUUUGAGAUUCAUUAAAUAUUGAAGAGCCACAGUUUCCGUUCCGUGAGAAGAAGAGAAGGGGUUAGAGAGACACAAUGAAAGAGCAGAUCCAACAAAAAGAGGUUGAACACACGGAAACGGGAGGUCAGCGAAAUGGCAGGGACUGUGAAUGGCGGUCAAGCGGCCCAAAUGGGAACGAGUCCAACUGACCAAAGCAGCAGUGAACAAAACUCUCCACAGGACCAACAGGAGAAGGCCUGCUCAUGCGAGGAUGGGAGCUGUUGUGUUAGUGAGAGUGUCAAACAGCAGAAACCCGAAUCCACUCAGACCCCAAACAUUACACAGGCCUUGGCAGCGACUCCUGUACACACACACAGUACGUCUGAAACUGCUGAUAAAUGCGUACACUGAUGAUCAGACCGAUAAGGUACAUUAAAAGUGCUGAACAGUUUGUCCUUGUGCAAAUUUUCAGCACUGAAAUGCAAAUGCUGUUUAUACAGGUGCAUGACGGGAAACAAAGGCCGGCACACAGGCUGUUUACUUUGGGCUAUUUUCGGGGUGUCUGUUCUGUGGUCAAAAUAAAACCUUGUAGAAACAGC
This 705-nucleotide long non-coding RNA is filed under the name Danio rerio (zebrafish). Its description in RNAcentral is "lncRNA si:dkey-175g6.6 (ENSDARG00000096973.2)". The record is from RNAcentral. Lineage: Eukaryota; Metazoa; Chordata; Actinopteri; Cypriniformes; Danionidae.